This 504-nucleotide ribosomal RNA is filed under the name uncultured bacterium. RNAcentral's name for it is "partial 16S ribosomal RNA". It matches the Rfam family "Bacterial small subunit ribosomal RNA", at positions 30 to 523 of the family's 1533-position model. The record is from RNAcentral.
AUUGAACGCUGGCGGCAUGCCUUACACAUGCAAGUCGAACGGCAGCAUGGAGAGCUUGCGCUCUGAUGGCGAGUGGCGAACGGGUGAGUAAUGCAUCGGAACGUACCGUGUAAUGGGGGAUAACGUAGCGAAAGUUACGCUAAUACCGCAUACGACCUGAGGGUGAAGGCAGGGGAUCGCAAGGCCUUGCGUUAUACGAGCGGCCGGUGUCAGAUUAGCUAGUUGGGAGGGUAAAGGCUCACCAAGGCGACGAUCUGUAGCGGGUCUGAGAGGAUGAUCCGCCACACUGGGACUGAGACACGGCCCAGACUCCUACGGGAGGCAGCAGUGGGGAAUUUUGGACAAUGGGGGCAACCCUGAUCCAGCCACGCCGCGUGAGUGAAGAAGGCCUUCGGGUUGUAAAGCUCUUUCGGCCGGGAAGAAAUCGCACAGGCUAUUACUCUGUGUGGAUGACGGUACCGGCAUAAGAAGCACCGGCUAACUACGUGCCAGCCGCCGCCGUAA